This 520-nucleotide ribosomal RNA is filed under the name uncultured Glomus. RNAcentral's name for it is "SSU rRNA". It matches the Rfam family "Eukaryotic small subunit ribosomal RNA", at positions 569 to 1091 of the family's 1831-position model. Lineage: Eukaryota; Fungi; Glomeromycota; Glomeromycetes; Glomerales; Glomeraceae. The record is from RNAcentral.
AGCAGCCGCGGUAAUUCCAGCUCCAAUAGCGUAUAUUAAAGUUGUUGCAGUUAAAAAGCUCGUAGUUGAAUUUCGGGGUCAGUAGGUCGGUCGUGCCACUGGUAUGAACUGGUUUCACUGAUUCCUCCUUCUUGUAGAACCGUGAUGCCAUUAAUUUGGUGUUGCGGGGAAACAGGACUGUUACUUUGAAAAAAUUAGAGUGUUUAAAGCAAGCUAACGCUUGAAUACAUUAGCAUGGAAUAAUGAAAUAGGACGUCGAUCUUAUUUUGUUGGUUUCUAGGGUUGACGUAAUGAUUAAUAGGGAUAGUUGGGGGCAUUAGUAUUCAAUUGUCAGAGGUGAAAUUCUUGGAUUUAUUGAAGACUAACUACUGCGAAAGCAUUUGCCAAGGAUGUUUUCAUUAAUCAAGAACGAAAGUUAGGGGAUCGAAGACGAUCAGAUACCGUCGUAGUCUUAACCAUAAACUAUGCCGACUAGGGAUCGGAUGAUGUUAAUUUUUUAAUGACUCAUUCGGCGCCUUAC